CCAAAUCAAACGCUGAAUUCCCUUAAGUGGGAACCGGGGGACCCAAGCGAAACUGCCACAUUGGUUUCAUGGGGUGAAUCCUUCUGCUUACUAAAAAGCGGCUAGGUAGGGCAAACUCUCAAGCCCGAAUCCGACAGCUAACCUCGUAAGCGUAUUGAGAGAGAACCA
Molecule: small RNA, 168 nt
Filed under: Paenibacillus antarcticus
Lineage: Bacteria; Bacillati; Bacillota; Bacilli; Caryophanales; Paenibacillaceae
Description: c-di-AMP sequence
Rfam family: c-di-AMP riboswitch aptamer (ydaO/yuaA leader)
About the family: This family represents a conserved RNA structure found upstream of the ydaO and yuaA genes in Bacillus subtilis and related genes in other bacteria. The ydaO/yuaA element is thought to act as a genetic "off" switch for the ydaO and yuaA genes in its native state.
Source: Rfam by way of RNAcentral